RNAcentral lists this ribosomal RNA (253 nucleotides) under uncultured bacterium. RNAcentral's name for it is "partial 16S ribosomal RNA". It matches the Rfam family "Bacterial small subunit ribosomal RNA", at positions 524 to 776 of the family's 1533-position model. The record is from RNAcentral.
UACGUAGGGGGCAAGCGUUGUCCGGAAUCAUUGGGCGUAAAGAGCGUGUAGGCGGCCCGGUAAGUCCGCUGUGAAAGUCCAGGGCUCAACCCUGGGAUGCCGGUGGAUACUGUCGGGCUCGAGUCCGGAAGAGGAGUGUGGAAUUCCUGGUGUAGCGGUGAAAUGCGCAGAUAUCAGGAGGAACACCAAUAGCGAAGGCAGCUCGCUGGGACGGUACUGACGCUAAGGCGCGAAAGCGUGGGGAGCAAACAGG